UGGGGAAUAUUGCACAAUGGGCGAAAGCCUGAUGCAGCAACGCCGCGUGAGUGAUGAAGGCCUUCGGGUUGUAAAGCUCUGUCUUCUGGGACGAUAAUGACGGUACCAGAGGAGGAAGCCACGGCUAACUACGUGCCAGCAGCCGCGGUAAUACGUAGGUGGCAAGCGUUGUCCGGAUUUACUGGGCGUAAAGGAUGCGUAGGCGGAUACUUAAGUCAGAUGUGAAAAUCCCGGGCUUAACUUGGGAACUGCAUUUGAAACUGGGUAUCUAGAGUGCGGGAGAGGAAAGUGGAAUUCCUAGUGUAGCGGUGAAAUGCGUAGAGAAUAGGAAGAACACCAGUGGCGAAGGCGACUUUCUGGACCGUAACUGACGCUGAGGCAUGAAAGCGUGGGGAGCAAACA
Molecule: ribosomal RNA, 402 nt
Filed under: uncultured bacterium
Lineage: Bacteria
Description: bacterial SSU rRNA
Rfam family: Bacterial small subunit ribosomal RNA
Source: RNAcentral